Long non-coding RNA from Suricata suricatta (meerkat), 638 nucleotides. The record is from Ensembl. NCBI's taxonomy places the organism in Eukaryota, Metazoa, Chordata, Mammalia, Carnivora, Herpestidae.
AGAAAAGAUAUAAACGGAGACAGAGAAUGCACCAUGGUUGUUCUUAAUGUGUUUGCAGACCUCUGUGACUUUCUAGGGCAGGAGCCUUGUGUAUCUUCUGGUCCAGCACACAGGAAGCACCAAUAAGAAGGAGCUUGAGCUCUCAAGAUGAAAGCACCUAAAAAGAUCAGACAUAGAGCAGAUUCAACAAGAUCCACACAGACAUUGUGAAGAUUUUGAGAAAAUUUUGGCUGUGAACUCCAGGAAUGUGCAUGCCUAACUCCAAGUUUGGACUUCCCUCCUCCUAACCCAGCUGUCUUCCUUGUUACUGGAACCAACUUCCACUUUUCAGGAGUAUAGGAUCAAAAAGACACACAGGAAGACUACAAUUCUAUGCAGUAACAUUAUUUAAUUGUGAGACCUUCUACCACUUUUGCAUCCCCUACAGAAUUAGCGAGAGAAGUGCAAUCUCUCAGCCUGGAGUAUUGAGUCACCGCAUGAAGGUGCAUGUUCUGGAGUUGCCUGGCUCUGGAAUCCAAUUUGCAUGAAUGAAAAAUAAACUGUUGUCAUGUUAAGCCAUUGAGGUUUUGGGGUCAUUUGUGGCAAUAGCAUAACCCAACCUUUUCUAAUAAAUGUGUUUUCUGAUGAAAAAUUUAAAU